Molecule: long non-coding RNA, 457 nt
Filed under: Malus domestica (apple)
Lineage: Eukaryota; Viridiplantae; Streptophyta; Magnoliopsida; Rosales; Rosaceae
Description: long non-coding RNA (MDOM_LNC017920)
Source: RNAcentral
UAAUUAAUUAGUUAAUUAAUUAUACGAAAUGUUUGUAUUGGGCUUUUAAGUUGGUUUUGGGCUUCGGGGCCCAAAAGUAUUUUGGUCCACAAGGCCCAUUAUGUUUAAGUUGUAUGACAACUAAAACAAAAUGGGCAAUUAGCCCAAUAACAUCAACAUGGCCAGCCAUAGGGUGAGUGGAUGCAAACUUGGAUUAAUUACAAGUUUGCCACUCACAUGUGAUAAAGUAUAAAUUCAACUUUAUAGCUUUAUUUUCAUUUAGGGUUUUCUUGAUGAAAAGAGGUGAAACAUUUUCUCUCUUUUUCUCUAUAGAGGCCGGCCACUUAGAGCAGUUUUAGCUAGCAAUCUAUUCUUCUCUAAGUCAUCCAUUUCUUCUUCACAAUAUAUCCUUGGUGAAGAGACUUAGAGACAUCAAGCUUUUGGUGUUUUGGAGAACAUAUCCUCAAAUCCUCAAAGA